Molecule: long non-coding RNA, 2089 nt
Filed under: Penaeus japonicus
Lineage: Eukaryota; Metazoa; Arthropoda; Malacostraca; Decapoda; Penaeidae
Description: uncharacterized LOC122255257
Source: RNAcentral
GGUGGCGGAACGCUCCGGCAGCUAGUGUUGAGUGAGACGUGGAGGAAGGUGUUCUAUACCGUCCCUCGUGGUGGCUUCAGCGCCGCUCCACUGCCAAGAGACUCAUUUAUGAGGAUACUUAACCUGUGAGGUGACCCGCUUGUGGUGCAAGGCUGCCGGGGCCUUCUAUGUGUCGUUUUGUGCAAUUUGGGUGUUUUCGGUUAGUGUAAGCGGGUGUGUCUCUGACCCGCAGCCCAGCGAACGCCCACGCGCCCACCUCCAGCACACCCGAUCCUCAGAGACCUUAUAACGUUUGAGGCUUAAAAGCACUUAGGUAAGCGGGCAUAGCAUUGCAGAGGGAAAGAAGGUAUCCAUUACACGAGGGUUAGUCGGAGUUGGGGGAAGUGGCUGUCAAGAACUACAUUUACAGCUGAUCUGUUAUUGUUGUAAGUAAGACUUGGAUGUACUCGUAAUCACAAUAGCACUGUAACGCGAAAGGAAAGGAAAAGAUAGUCACAUUAGAAAAAAGAAGCAGUAUACAGAAGUUCUUAUUCAUGCAGGAACACCAAAAAGGGAUACUCUUUAUGGAUUUUGUUUUUCUCACAGAUCCUUCGAGUAAGAAUGAGUUCUAGUUCCUGGAUUUACCACUUUACCGGAUUAGAUAAUUUAAUUAAGGACUUUUUUAUGUGCUUUCGCUAUUUUUAAAACCGUUUUCUCUGUAUUUCGAUUAUAUGUUAUGAAGUAAGCAUGUGUUUAGGUUAUUGAUGCACAUACUUCAGAUAAUACAUUUCGAGAGUUGUUUAUAUUUUUUUGUAUUUUAUGGUUUUGUCGACUGGAAGAAUUGAAACUGGAUUGAGAGAGCAUACAAUCUUCUUUGCCUUUCACUUUUUAUUAGUCAACAGAUGUCCGUUUCCUUUACACCUCUCGGCUAACUCCUCUGGCCAUGGACAGUUGGACAUCUAUGAGCGACUCUCAUCGUAUUGUAUCUAAAAAAUAUAGUCUCGCGUCUCUCCGGUUAUGGCCGCCGGAAUUGCGACAGCGGAACUGUAAAGGGGGAAGGGGGGAGGGAGAGGAAAGAUAAAGGGGUCAGGAGGGCACAAGAUAAAAAAACUGCCAUACGACUUAUUUUCGUAACACAUCCGUUACAUUUCCGGUUGCAUCCGGGGCUGAAUGAUCGUAUAUCAGUCAUGCAAUCAUUUUAUUGAUUUAUUAAAAUGCUGCUUCUAGCGUGUUGACCUCUUAUUGCAUUACUUUAGCUGCGGUUAGAGUUAUUAGCGACCUAUUUUUCGGUCGUUUGCUUGAGCCAUUUACCUGAGUGUGGGACGGUGACCACAAUGUAGCGCCCGAGGUCGGACGUGUCACUGGGGCUCAUAUUUAUAGCAUUAUUUCUUCUCCAUUUUUAGACUAUGCAUUUUAUACAAGUUUUAUCCACGUAGACAAAAAAAAAGUUGUUUGACCUCUUCGCAAAGCCCGCGGGAACCAGAUCAUCGCGCGUAACGUGAUGCCGUCGGACUUUAUCUCGGAGCUGAGGUCCCUCCCCUCGCCCCACAAGUAUCCAGGCCGGACCGGAAUCAUAAUUUGAAUAACGUUUGCAGGCACCGGAUUAGUUAUGCGCACCUCAUGUAUGUCAUGUAUAUUGUAGUUGGUAUUUUUUUAUUACUAGAGAAAAGCAAGAGAAAGAGAGAUAUAGGAGCGAGGCUGUGUCAGAGAGAUGUACCUGCUGAGGCGUAUAAGUAACUGAAUACUAUCUUUCCUCUAUCCCUAACUCCCCUGAUUCUCCCUUCUUCGUGACUCCUUACAUGUUCUCUAUUCCCCCUCUGACUCAUCGAUCCUUCCCGUCCCUUUCCCUUGUCCUGACCCACCUCUCCCUUAUCCAGCCCCCUUCAUUUAGUCUAGAUACUCCUGGACUCCCUUGCGUAUCCCUUCAAAAUAAUAAAAAAAACAAGAAAAAAUAAUAUACGCUCACGCACGCACGCACGCGACACACACACACACACACACACACACACACACACACACACACACACACACACAUAUAUAUAUAUAUAUAUCGGAAGCUCGAUAAUCCCCCAGUCUCCCUGAUUUUAUGUAUUUUUUGUACCUCACUGUA